AAGGGUGGCCAUACCACCCUGAUCUCACCUGAUCUCACCUGAUCUCAUCUGAUCUAAUUUGAUCUCAUCUGAUCUCGGUCGCUAAGCAGGGGCGGGCCUGGUUAGUACUUGGAUGGGAAACAGCCUGGGAAUACAAAGGUGCUGUAAACU
This 150-nucleotide ribosomal RNA is filed under the name Salmo salar (Atlantic salmon). Lineage: Eukaryota; Metazoa; Chordata; Actinopteri; Salmoniformes; Salmonidae. The record is from RNAcentral.